CAGCAGCCGCGGGAAUACAGAGGGUGCGAGCGUUAAUCGGAAUUACUGGGCGUAAAGCGCGCGUAGACGGUUUUGUAAGUCAGAUGUGAAAUCCCUGGGCUCAACCUGGGAACUGCAUUUGAUACUGCAUGGCUAGAGUAUCGAAGAGGGAAGUGGAAUUUCCGGUGUAGCGGUGAAAUGCGUAGAUAUCGGAAGGAACACCAGUGGCGAAAGCGACUUCCUGGUCGAAUACUGACGUUCAUGUGCGAAAGCGUGGGGAGCAAACAGGAUUAGAUACCCCCGUAGUCCCUGUCUCUUAUAC
RNAcentral lists this ribosomal RNA (301 nucleotides) under uncultured bacterium. Its description in RNAcentral is "partial 16S ribosomal RNA". It matches the Rfam family "Bacterial small subunit ribosomal RNA", at positions 509 to 807 of the family's 1533-position model. The record is from RNAcentral.